RNAcentral lists this ribosomal RNA (707 nucleotides) under uncultured Providencia sp. Its description in RNAcentral is "bacterial SSU rRNA". It matches the Rfam family "Bacterial small subunit ribosomal RNA", at positions 795 to 1502 of the family's 1533-position model. Lineage: Bacteria; Pseudomonadati; Pseudomonadota; Gammaproteobacteria; Enterobacterales; Morganellaceae. The record is from RNAcentral.
UCACGCUGUAAACGAUGUCGAUUGGGAGGUUGUUACCUUGAGGAGUGGCUUCCGGAGCUAACGCGUUAGAUCGACCGCUGGGGAGUACGGCCGCAAGGUUAAAACUCAAAUGAAUUGACGGGGGCCCGCACAAGCGGUGGAGCAUGUGGUUUAAUUCGAUGCAACGCGAAGAACCUUACCUACUCUUGACAUCCAGAGAAUUUAGCAGAGAUGCUUUAGUGCCUUCGGGAACUCUGAGACAGGUGCUGCAUGGCUGUCGUCAGCUCGUGUUGUGAAAUGUUGGGUUAAGUCCCGCAACGAGCGCAACCCUUAUCCUUUGUUGCCAGCACAUUAUGGUGGGAACUCAAAGGAGACUGCCGGUGAUAAACCGGAGGAAGGUGGGGAUGACGUCAAGUCAUCAUGGCCCUUACGAGUAGGGCUACACACGUGCUACAAUGGCGUAUACAAAGAGAAGCGACCUCGCGAGAGCAAGCGGAACUCAUAAAGUACGUCGUAGUCCGGAUUGGAGUCUGCAACUCGACUCCAUGAAGUCGGAAUCGCUAGUAAUCGUAGAUCAGAAUGCUACGGUGAAUACGUUCCCGGGCCUUGUACACACCGCCCGUCACACCAUGGGAGUGGGUUGCAAAAGAAGUAGGUAGCUUAACCUUCGGGAGGGCGCUUACCACUUUGUGAUUCAUGACUGGGGUGAAGUCGUAACAAGGUAACCA